RNAcentral lists this ribosomal RNA (254 nucleotides) under uncultured bacterium. RNAcentral describes it as "partial small subunit ribosomal RNA". It matches the Rfam family "Bacterial small subunit ribosomal RNA", at positions 26 to 285 of the family's 1533-position model. The record is from RNAcentral.
AGGACGAACGCUGGCGGCGUGCUUAACACAUGCAAGUCGAGCGGAAAGGCCCUUCGGGGUACUCGAGCGGCGAACGGGUGAGUAACACGUGAGCAAUCUGCCCCUAGCUUCGGGAUAGCUCCGGGAAACCGGAAUUAAUACCGAAUACGACUACGGCCGACAUCGGCUGUGGUGGAAAGUUUUUCGGCUAGGGAUGAGCUCGCGGCCUAUCAGCUUGUUGGUGGGGUAACGGCCUACCAAGGCGACGACGGGUA